This 72-nucleotide transfer RNA is filed under the name Candidatus Syntropharchaeum butanivorans. RNAcentral's name for it is "tRNA-Cys". It matches the Rfam family "tRNA". From Rfam's summary of the family: Transfer RNA (tRNA) molecules are approximately 80 nucleotides in length. Their secondary structure includes four short double-helical elements and three loops (D, anti-codon, and T loops). RNAcentral also lists the same sequence under 1 other name. Lineage: Archaea; Methanobacteriati; Halobacteriota; Candidatus Syntropharchaeia; Candidatus Syntropharchaeales. The record is from RNAcentral.
GCCAAGGUGGCAGAGAGGCUAUGCGGUCGCCUGCAGAGCGACUCCACUCCGGUUCGAAUCCGGACCUUGGCU